This 254-nucleotide ribosomal RNA is filed under the name uncultured bacterium. RNAcentral's name for it is "partial 16S ribosomal RNA". It matches the Rfam family "Bacterial small subunit ribosomal RNA", at positions 524 to 777 of the family's 1533-position model. The record is from RNAcentral.
UACGUAGGGAGCAAGCGUUGUCCGGAAUCAUUGGGCGUAAAGCGCGCGUAGGUGGCUUCGUAAGUCCGUUGUGAAAGUCAAAGGCUCAACCUUUGAAAGCCGAUGGAUACUGCGGAGCUAGAGUACGGAAGAGGCGAGUGGAAUUCCUGGUGUAGCGGUGGAAUGCGCAGAUAUCAGGAGGAACACCGGUGGCGAAGGCGGGACUCUGGGCCGAUACUGACGCUGAGGAGCGAAAGCGUGGGGAGCAAAGCAGG